This 465-nucleotide ribosomal RNA is filed under the name uncultured bacterium. RNAcentral describes it as "partial 16S ribosomal RNA". It matches the Rfam family "Bacterial small subunit ribosomal RNA", at positions 28 to 507 of the family's 1533-position model. The record is from RNAcentral.
GACGAACGCUGGCGGCGUGCUUAACACAUGCAAGUCGAACGGAAAGGCACCUUUGGGGGUACUCGAGUGGCGAACGGGUGAGUAACACGUGAGUAACCUGCCCUUGACUUCGGGAUAACUUCAGGAAACUGGGGCUAAUACCGGAUAGGAAUCCUUGCUGCAUGGGGGGGGUUGGAAAGCUUCGGCGGUUUUGGAUGGACUCGCGGCUUAUCAGCUUGUUGGUGGGGUAGUGGCUUACCGAGGCUUUGACGGGUAGCCGGCCUGUGAGGGCGACCGGCCACAUUGGGUCUGAGGUACGGCCGCGGCGCCGACGGGAGGCAGAAGUGGGGAAUCUUGCACCAUGGGCGGAGGCCUGAUGCAGCAGGGCCGCGGGUGGGAUGACGGCCUUCGGGUUGUAGAACGCCUGCAGCAGGGGCGAAGCUUGUGGUGACGGUACCUGAAGAAGAAGCACCGGCUAACUACGUG